GCACCAGUACUUACGUUUCGGUAUUAAGAAAGCAGUGUAUGGAAUGAAGUUUGAUCCAAGAUCAGGAGGACGGACUCCGUCUCCCAAAUCUCGGACCAGGCUUCAUUCCUCACACCCUUUCUUUUCCAUCCGUAGUUCGUAGUAUUAUUGU
Molecule: microRNA precursor, 151 nt
Filed under: Linum usitatissimum (flax)
Lineage: Eukaryota; Viridiplantae; Streptophyta; Magnoliopsida; Malpighiales; Linaceae
Description: miR166e stem-loop (lus-MIR166e)
Gene: lus-MIR166e
Source: miRBase by way of RNAcentral